GUGGAUGAUCGGGAGGCGCACUCUGGCCCCGCGCCAUUCCCCAGUGACCAGGAGUCUGAGGGGAGAAGAGCCCACUCUGGGGCACUGCAAGCUGGUGUCCUUCCUGCGACCUUUCUGUUCCCGGGGGGCGCAAGGUUGCCUCUAGAAAGCCCCGACUGGCGUCUCCUGGGAAGGUUUCAUAUGCCAACUUGAGGGACAAUGUCUGUGCCUGCAGGGGCCCCUGUCCCCUGAUGCUGUCCACGUGUGGAGGAAGGAGGCAAGGCUGAGCAUGGACCAGGGAGAGGCCUCACCACCUGUGCCUGC
This 303-nucleotide long non-coding RNA is filed under the name Rattus norvegicus (Norway rat). Its description in RNAcentral is "long non-coding RNA NONRATT012118". The record is from RNAcentral. Lineage: Eukaryota; Metazoa; Chordata; Mammalia; Rodentia; Muridae.